Molecule: ribosomal RNA, 478 nt
Filed under: uncultured Planctomycetales bacterium
Lineage: Bacteria; Pseudomonadati; Planctomycetota; Planctomycetia; Planctomycetales
Description: bacterial SSU rRNA
Rfam family: Bacterial small subunit ribosomal RNA
Source: RNAcentral
UUUCGCAAUGCCCGAAAGGGUGACGAAGCGACGCCGCGUGUGGGAAGAAGGCCUUCGGGUUGUAAACCACUGUCGGGAGUUAGGAAAUGCAGGUGCGUUAAUAGCGCACUUGCUUGACUAAGGCUCCAGAGGAAGCCACGGCUAACUCUGUGCCAGCAGCCGCGGUAAUACAGAGGCGGCAAGCGUUGUUCGGAAUUAUUGGGCGUAAAGAGCACGUAGGCGGCCUUGCAAGUCAGUUGUGAAAGCCUUCCGCUUAACGGAAGAACGGCAUCUGAUACUACAGGGCUUGAGUACGGGAGGGGAGAGUGGAACUUCUGGUGGAGCGGUGAAAUGCGUAGAUAUCAGAAGGAACGCCGGCGGUGAAAGCGACUCUCUGGUCCGAAACUGACGCUGAGUGUGCGAAAGCUAGGGGAGCAAACGGGAUUAGAUACCCCGGUAGUCCUAGCCGUAAACGAUGGGCACUAAGUAGAGGGGUUUU